Small nuclear RNA from Octodon degus (degu), 109 nucleotides. The record is from Ensembl. Lineage: Eukaryota; Metazoa; Chordata; Mammalia; Rodentia; Octodontidae.
AGGCUCGCUUCGGCAGCACGUAUACUAAAAAACUGUAACAGUACUGAGAAGAUUAGCGUGGCCCCUGCACAGGGGUGACACACAAAUUCAUGAAGUGUUCCAUAUUUUG